GACGAACGCUGGCGGCGUGCUUAACACAUGCAAGUCGAGCGGUAAGGCCCUUUCGGGGGUACACGAGCGGCGAACGGGUGAGUAACACGUGGGUGACCUGCCCUCAGCUCUGGGAUAAGCCCGGGGAAACUGGGUCUAAUACCGGAUAUGACUCCAUGACGCAUGUUGUGGGGUGGAAAGCCUUGUGCGGCUGAGGAUGGGCCCGCGGCCUAUCAGCUUGUUGGUGGGGUGAUGGCCUACCAAGGCGACGACGGGUAGCCGGCCUGAGAGGGCGACCGGCCACACUGGGACUGAGACACGGCCCAGACUCCUACGGGAGGCAGCAGUGGGGAAUCUUGCGCAAUGGGCGAAAGCCUGACGCAGCGACGCCGCGUGAGGGAUGACGGCCUCGGU
Molecule: ribosomal RNA, 393 nt
Filed under: uncultured bacterium
Lineage: Bacteria
Description: bacterial SSU rRNA
Rfam family: Bacterial small subunit ribosomal RNA
Source: RNAcentral